AGGUCUAGUGCUCUUUACACCUAGUAGCAUCCCAUGUGGUGUUGAGGGAGGGGGAGACCUUCCACUGAUUGAUCUAACAAUUGGUCCAUCUAAUGUAGCACUGUUUAUGCUGACAGAUGUUCUCCAGGAUUCUAGAUGGAUCUUCUCCCAGCCCUACCUGAAGAUACCAGAAGUUGAACCGGUGACCUUCUGCAUGCAAGGCAUGUGCUCUGCCACUGAACUAUGAACCAUUGAGCUCCAUCCCCUGCUGCCAAAGCAGCAACUAAGGGAAAGUGGGCACAGGAAGCUCAAUGCAGGUGAGAAAAGGGUCAGAUCCCACCAUACUCCCAACAACAUCAUUAGGGUGGCAGAGUCCAAAGAGAGUUUAGAAUAAACCAAGCUCUUUUCUGAGUUCUUGAGACCGAGUUCAUUUUUUCCAAGCCUGCCAUGGAACAUGCACCCCAUCACUGAUUAACACAUUUAUGGACGUUCCUUGAUUCCCUAUUGAGGCAUUACUCGUGUGAAAGAACAACACAAGUUUAAAGGGCCUCACUUUUAGCCCUGUGCCCAUUAGCAUGCAGCCCAUAACAGCUUCUUUGUGCCCAGCUGUAACUUUUGCAGUUGGGAGCCUUUUCUGUCCAUGAAGGCUCCCUGGGUUGUUUCAGGAUAUUACAGGUGUUUGUGAACCAAUCCCCAAAUAACAGAGACAGAUUUGGGGCAGUGCAACUGGUUCCUCUGCACUGGACACUGAGCCUAGAGAACAACGCAGGGCAAAGCAAGAGACUGGAGGCCUUGCAAGGGCGCCACUGAAAUUUGAAAGACCAAAGUCUGCCCUGUAACUGGCUGCUAAAGGGGAAGACCAGACUUCCCUAUGGCCUGGCCUAUUUACAUAGGUGAGACUCACAGUAGAAUCCUGAGGGGACAGAGUGGACUGUACCACUUCAGACUCCAGGUGCAGGGAGUGCCAUUUUUGAAUGUGCACUCAUGUUAAAGAAAAGGAAGGAAAACUUUUUUGCAAGUAUUAUUAAUAAAACUACCCAAGCUUAUCAGAGAGAUGCAGCCCAACUUGUACCAUACUGUGCUUUUAUAUUUCCAGUAAGUGACCUGAUGGUGGAUGGAGGACUUGACCUGGCAUGUGUAACAGAGACUUGAUUGGAUAAAACAGAUGGGCCUGUCCUUGCCGCUGUUUGUCCACCAGGUUUCUCUUACGCACAGUAACCCAGGUCAUGUGGGCGGGCGGGGGGGGGGGGUUGCAGUGAUUUUUAGGCACUGUUAUACAGUGGUUCCACUCCUUCCUCCUGGGUUGUGUCUAGAAAGUGGUGUUGGGGGAUGAGUGUUCGGACGCCUGGGCUCUCACUUGUGGGGUGCCUCAGGGUUCUGUCCUCUCCCACAUGCCUUUUAACAUCUAUAUGAAGCCACUGGGAGAGAUCAUCAGGGUUUGGGCUGGGUGUUCAUCAGUUUGCGGAUGAUACCAAACUCUACCUCUCUUUUAAGUCAGAACCAGUGCGGUCGAUGAAUGUCCUGUGUGAGUGUCUGGAGGCAGUUGGAGGAUGGAUGGCAGCUAACAGAUUGAAGGUGAAUCCUGACAAGACAGAAGUACUGUUUUGGGGAAACAUGGGGCGGGCAGGUGGGGCCACUCCCUGGUCCUGAAUGGUGUAACUGUGCCGCUGAAGGACCAGGUUCACAGCUUGGGAGUCAUUUUGGACUCACAGCUGUCCAUGGAGGCGCAGGUCAAUUCUGUGUCCAGGGCAGCUGUCUCCCAGCUCCAUCUGGCACGGAGGCUGAGACCCUACCCACCUGCAGACUGUCUUGCCAGAGUGGUGCAUGCUCUAGUUAUCUCCCACUUGGACUAUUGCAAUGCACUCUAUGUGGGGCUACCUCUGAAGGUGACCCAGAUGUUGGGAUGCUGCCGGGGAGAUGGGGGCAUUAGGCAGGCCCCCAGCUGGCUCCAGCCACUGGCCGGCAGCCGGGCGAUCUCUGGUUCUCAGAACAGCAUCAAACAACGACACAAGCCUCAGAUAACUUUAGAGACUUGGCACGCUCUAUCAGCAGAGUGAAUAAAUCUUCUAACAAUGGAAGUGGUGGACAGAGACAUGUGUAAGCAUUAUUUACAGGCGUUUAUUCAGCAUAGUUCAGGAACAAAGGAAAAACAUGUCUGCUUCCCUUUGUGUCCAGCAAACAGGAAGAAAACAAAAGCUACAUACAAAUGGAAGUUCCCAGCAGACUGUGCUGGAUGUAAAAAGGCAUGUGACACACAACAGUCAUGCCUGUUCCCUUUUAAGGUGGAACGGAACUAUAUCCUAACACCGGAAACUGCAACCAAUCCAGAAUGCGGCAGUUAGAUGGUGACUGGGAAUGGCCACCAAGACCAUAUUACACCGGUCCAGAAAGACCUACAUUGGUUCCCAGUAUGUUUCCAAGCACAAUUCAAAGUGUUGGUGCUGACUUUUAAAGCCGUAAACGGCCUCAGUCCUGUAUACCUGAAGGAUCAUCUCCAUCCCCAUCGUUCACUGACGUCCAGCUCUGAGGGCCUUCUGGCAUCUGAAGGCAGCCCUGUUUAGGGAAGUUUUUAAUGUUCGAUGUUUUAUCGCUUUAUUAUUAUUAAUAUUAAUAUUCUGUUGGGAGCUGCCCAGAGUGGCUGGGGAAACCCAGCCAGAUGGGCAGGGUAUAAAUAAUAAAAUAAUAAUAAAAUUAUUAUUAUUAGCA
Podarcis raffonei (Aeolian wall lizard) is the source of this 2685-nucleotide long non-coding RNA. RefSeq lists it as uncharacterized. The record is from RefSeq and is a predicted model, not a curated record. The transcript is spliced from 2 exons. Lineage: Eukaryota; Metazoa; Chordata; Lepidosauria; Squamata; Lacertidae.